This 253-nucleotide ribosomal RNA is filed under the name uncultured bacterium. RNAcentral describes it as "partial small subunit ribosomal RNA". It matches the Rfam family "Bacterial small subunit ribosomal RNA", at positions 26 to 285 of the family's 1533-position model. The record is from RNAcentral.
AGGACGAACGCUGGCGGCGUGCUUAACGCAUGCAAGUCGAGCGGAAAGGCCCUUCGGGGUACUCGAGCGGCGAACGGGUGAGUAACACGUGAGCAACCUGCCCUUAGCUCCGGGAUAGCUCCGGGAAACCGGAAUUAAUACCGGAUAUGACCUAGGCCGACAUCGGCUGUGGUGGAAAGUUUUUCGGCUGGGGAUGGACUCGCGGCCUAUCAGCUUGUUGGUGGGGUAAUGGCCUACCAAGGCGACGACGGUA